GAGUUGGGCUCAGUGGUAGAGCACUUGCCUCACAUGCAUGAGGCCCUGGGUUCAAUCCUCAGUACCACA
RNAcentral lists this transfer RNA (69 nucleotides) under Marmota monax (woodchuck). RNAcentral describes it as "tRNA.Val". The stretch from base 7 to 62 matches the Rfam family "tRNA", at positions 9 to 63 of the family's 71-position model. From Rfam's summary of the family: Transfer RNA (tRNA) molecules are approximately 80 nucleotides in length. Their secondary structure includes four short double-helical elements and three loops (D, anti-codon, and T loops). Further hydrogen bonds mediate the characteristic L-shaped molecular structure. tRNAs have two regions of fundamental functional importance: the anti-codon, which is responsible for specific mRNA codon recognition, and the 3' end, to which the tRNAs corresponding amino acid is attached (by aminoacyl-tRNA synthetases). tRNAs cope with the degeneracy of the genetic code in two manners: having more than one tRNA (with a specific anti-codon) for a particular amino acid; and 'wobble' base-pairing, i.e. permitting non-standard base-pairing at the 3rd anti-codon position. Lineage: Eukaryota; Metazoa; Chordata; Mammalia; Rodentia; Sciuridae. The record is from RNAcentral.